UUAACACAUGCAAGUCGAGGGGCAGCAUGGUCUUAGCUUGCUAAGGCCGAUGGCGACCGGCGCACGGGUGAGUAACACGUAUCCAACCUGCCGUCUACUCUUGGACAGCCUUCUGAAAGGAAGAUUAAUACAAGAUGGCAUCAUGAGUCCGCAUGUUCACAUGAUUAAAGGUAUUCCGGUAGACGAUGGGGAUGCGUUCCAUUAGAUAGUAGGCGGGGUAACGGCCCACCUAGUCUUCGAUGGAUAGGGGUUCUGAGAGGAAGGUCCCCCACAUUGGAACUGAGACACGGUCCAAACUCCUACGGGAGGCAGCAGUGAGGAAUAUUGGUCAAUGGGCGAGAGCCUGAACCAGCCAAGUAGCGUGAAGGAUGACUGCCCUAUGGGUUGUAAACUUCUUUUAUAAAGGAAUAAAGUCGGGUAUGGAUACCCGUUUGCAUAUACUUUAUGAAUAAGGAUCGGCUAACUCCGUGCCAGCAGCCGCGGUAAUACGGAGGAUCCGAGCGUUAUCCGGAUUUAUUGGGUUUAAAGGGAGCGUAGAUGGAUGUUUAAGUCAGUUGUGAAAGUUUGCGGCUCAACCGUAAAAUUGCAGUUGAUACUGGAUAUCUUGAGUGCAGUUGAGGCAGGCGGAAUUCGUGGUGUAGCGGUGAAAUGCUUAGAUAUCACGAAGAACUCCGAUUGCGAAGGCAGCCUGCUAAGCUGCAACUGACAUUGAGGCUCGAAAGUGUGGGUAUCAAACAGGAUUAGAUACCCUGGUAGUCCACACGGUAAACGAUGAAUACUCGCUGUUUGCGAUAUACAGCAAGCGGCCAAGCGAAAGCGUUAAGUAUUCCACCUGGGGAGUACGCCGGCAACGGUGAAACUCAAAGGAAUUGACGGGGACCCGCACAAGCGGAGGAACAUGUGGUUUAAUUCGAUGAUACGCGAGGAACCUUACCCGGGCUUAAAUUGCAGAUGAAUUACGGUGAAAGCCGUAAGCCGCAAGGCAUCUGUGAAGGUGCUGCAUGGUUGUCGUCAGCUCGUGCCGUGAGGUGUCGGCUUAAGUGCCAUAACGAGCGCAACCCUUGUUGUCAGUUACUAACAGGUUCCGCUGAGGACUCUGACAAGACUGCCAUCGUAAGAUGUGAGGAAGGUGGGGAUGACGUCAAAUCAGCACGGCCCUUACGUCCGGGGCUACACACGUGUUACAAUGGGGGGUACAGAGGGCCGCUACCACGCGAGUGGAUGCCAAUCCCCAAAACCUCUCUCAGUUCGGACUGGAGUCUGCAACCCGACUCCACGAAGCUGGAUUCGCUAGUAAUCGCGCAUCAGCCACGGCGCGGUGAAUACGUUCCCGGGCCUUGUACACACCGCCCGUCAAGCCAUGGGAGCCGGGGGUACCUGAAGUGCGUAACCGCGAGGAGCGCCCUAGGGUAAAACCGGUGACUGGGGCUAAG
This 1433-nucleotide ribosomal RNA is filed under the name uncultured organism. RNAcentral describes it as "16S ribosomal RNA". It matches the Rfam family "Bacterial small subunit ribosomal RNA". The record is from RNAcentral.